Molecule: ribosomal RNA, 251 nt
Filed under: uncultured Russula
Lineage: Eukaryota; Fungi; Basidiomycota; Agaricomycetes; Russulales; Russulaceae
Description: partial 28S ribosomal RNA
Rfam family: Eukaryotic large subunit ribosomal RNA
Source: RNAcentral
UGACCUCAAAUCGGGUGAGACUACCCGCUGAACUUAAGCAUAUCAAUAAGCGGAGGAAAAGAAACUAACAAGGAUUCCCCUAGUAACUGCGAGUGAAGCGGGAAAAGCUCAAAUUUAAAAUCUGGUGGCCUCUGGUCAUCCGAGUUGUAAUUUAGAGAAGCGUCUUCCGCGCUGGACCAUGCACAAGUCUCCUGGAAUGGAGCGUCAUAGAGGGUGAGAAUCCCGUCUUUGGCAUGGAUGCACCAGGCUAC